Molecule: unclassified non-coding RNA, 3529 nt
Filed under: Hevea brasiliensis (rubber tree)
Lineage: Eukaryota; Viridiplantae; Streptophyta; Magnoliopsida; Malpighiales; Euphorbiaceae
Source: RNAcentral
CGCGAAUAUAACGUAGCCUAGACCAUUUGCUCUAUAAAUGCUGCAACAUCUUCCAGGAUCGAAACCAUAUUCGUAAUCCAAGGAAGACCUACAACUCUUUCAAUAAUUCUUUAUAAUAAUUAGUUGUUUGAAAAUGGCUUCUGGACCGACCUUGAAGCGUUCAGACUCUAUGGCUGAUAAUAUGCCGGAGGCCUUGAAGCAAAGCCGGUAUCAUAUGAAGAAGUGUUUCGCCAAGUACGUUCAGAAGGGGAGAAGGAUAAUGAAGCUUCAGCAUCUGCUGGAUGAAAUGGAGAAUGUGAUAGAUGACAAGAUGGAAAGAACCAAGGUCUUGGAAGGUUUACUAGGGGACAUAUGGUACUCCACUCAGGAAGCAGUCGUUAAUCCUCCUUACGUAGCUUUUGCAAUAAGACCAAGUCCUGGUUUCUGGGAAUAUGUCAAGGUUAACUCUUCUGAUCUCACUGUUGAGGGAAUCAGCGCUACAGAAUACUUGAAAUUCAAAGAAAUGAUAUUUGAGGAGACCUGGGCAAAAGAUGUGAAUGCAUUGGAAGUGGAUUUUGGAGCAUUUGAUUUCUCUGUGCCUCGCUUGACCUUGUCUUCUUCCAUUGGCAAUGGACUCAACUUCGUUUCCAAGUUCGUCACUUCAAAGUUAAGUGGGCGCUUGGAGAAUGCUCAGCCUCUGGUGGAUUACUUACUGUUACUCAAUCGUCGAGGAGAGAAACUUAUGAUCAAUGACAACCUUAAUACUGUUUCAAAGCUUCAGAUGGCACUGAUAGUUGCUGAAGUUUACCUCUCAGGCCUUUCCAAGGACACUUCAUAUCAAAAUUUUGAGCUAAGCUUCAAGGAGUGGGGCUUUGAGAAGGGAUGGGGUGACACAGCAGAGAGAGUGAAGGAGACAAUGAGAUCACUCUCAGAAGUGCUCCAAGCUCCAGAUCCAGUGAACAUGGAGAAGUUCUUUAGUCGGGUGCCGACGAUAUUCAAUAUUGUAAUUUUCUCUCCCCACGGCUACUUUGGGCAAUCAAAUGUCCUUGGCUUGCCAGAUACUGGUGGUCAGGUAGUCUACAUCCUGGACCAAGUGAAAGCUUUGGAAGAGGAGUUGCUUCUCAGGAUUAAGCAACAAGGGCUGAAGGCGAAACCUAAUAUUAUAGUGGUCACGCGAUUAAUUCCUGAGGCUCGUGGAACUAACUGCAACCAGGAAUUGGAAGCAAUUAAUGGCACAAAGCAUUCCAACAUCCUCCGAGUGCCAUUUAGCGUUGAAGAUAGGGUCCUCCGCCAGUGGGUUUCUCGUUUCGAUGUCUAUCCGUAUAUUGAGAAGUUUACUCAGGAUGUUACGGUCAAGGUACUAGACCUCAUGGAAGGAAAACCAGAUCUCAUUAUUGGAAACUAUACAGAUGGGAAUUUAGCAGCAACUCUCAUGUCUAAUAAACUUGGGAUAACUCAGGCAACUAUUGCACAUGCUUUGGAGAAGACAAAGUAUGAAGAUUCAGACAUCAAAUGGAAGGAAUUAGACCCCAAGUAUCACUUCUCAUGCCAAUUCAUAGCUGAUACAAUUGCAAUGAAUGCAGCAGAUUUUAUCAUAGCCAGCACAUACCAGGAGAUUGCAGGAAGCAAAGAAAGACCAGGACAGUAUGAGAGCCAUGAUUCAUUCACCCUUCCAGGGCUGUGUAGAAUUGUUUCUGGCAUUAAUCUCUUUGAUCCAAAAUUCAACAUAGCUGCACCUGGAGCUGAUCAAUCUGUCUACUUCCCAAACACAGAGAAACAGAAGAGAUUCACACAGUUUCAUCCUGCCAUUGAAGAACUAUUGUAUAGUAAAGAGGAGAAUGAAGAACACAUUGGAUAUCUAGCAGACAGAGGGAAACCUAUUAUCUUCUCAAUGGCAAGGCUUGAUAUAGUGAAAAACCUCACUGGAUUAACUGAGUGGUAUGGAAAGAACAAGAGGUUGAGAAAUUUGGUUAAUCUUGUCAUAGUUGGGGCCUUCUUUGAUCCUUCUAAAUCCAAAGACAGAGAAGAGAUGGCUGAAAUUAGGAAGAUGCAUGCUUUGAUAGAGAAGUACCAACUCAAGAGUCAGUUCAGAUGGAUAGCAGCACAGACAGACAGGCAGCGAAAUGGAGAACUCUAUCGUUGCAUUGCAGAUACAAAGGGAGCUUUUGUGCAGCCAGCUCUCUAUGAAGCAUUUGGACUCACAGUCAUUGAGGCAAUGAACUGUGGAUUACCCACCUUCGCAACUAAUCAAGGAGGUCCAGCUGAAAUAAUUGUUGAUGGGCUAUCAGGAUUUCUUAUUGAUCCCAACGAUGGAGAUGAAGCAAGCAACAAAAUCGCUGACUUCUUUGAGAAGUGUAAGGUAGAUGCAGGAUACUGGAGUAAGUUUUCAGAAGAUGGGUUGAAACGCAUAAAUGAAUGCUACACCUGGAAGAUAUAUGCAAAUAGGGUAUUGAAUAUGGGUUGCAUGUAUGCUUUCUGGAGGCAGCUGAACAAGGAACAGAAACAAGCAAAACAAAGAUACAUCCAAAUGUUAUAUAAUCUGCAAUUCAGGAGGCUGGUAUGCUAUUAUACCUGCCAUGGACUUUGGUACUUAGUGCCUGUGGUCCUAAAACAAAAACAACCAUAUUGAUAACAAUGAAGCUCCUGAUUUAACUUGUUUCAAAUGUCUGUGACACUUUCAGAUGAAGAAUGUGCCUAUCCCAACUGAAGAAGCUCAGCAGCAACUAGAGUCGAAACCCGUAAGCAAAGCACCAUCAAGGCAAGUAACUUAACUCGCCACUACAGGCACAAUCGCUUUCCAGAUGAUGAUUUAGAUUCUAAAUUAUUUUAAGUUUCUGCAUAGUGUGCAGAAACUGUUAUCAUAAGAACAGUUUCUGCGCACUAUAACAAUUAGUAUUCAUGCCAUCUUGCCUCUCCAGAACUGAAUACCGUAGAAACAGGAUCGCAUAAGCUAUUUCAACUGCUUUCUGUCUUCUUAACAGCUCAGUUUUACGUAACCUGAUAAACAUUUUAUAUUUCACCUGCGCAGCACAAGACGCAGUCAGUCCCGAUUGCAAAGGUAAGAGUAGAAUCUCAAAAAACUUAUCCUUUGGAUUCUCCAAUGAAGCAAAUGAAAGCAUUUUUAACCUAUGUUCAGGUUGUUCGGAGCUUAAGAGUGCAAGUAGGCAGCAUAGCUCAGAAGCAUUCCUGAGCCACCUGACCUUAGCGUCCCCUAUUAUGUUUUUUCCAGUGUUUGAUCUCUUGCAUUCACAGAAGAAACAAAUUGUGUAAUUUCUGAAAAUUAAGGAACUGGUAUUGUGUUAUAGAUCAAUAAUUUUCAAUUGUGUAAUGAAUUAUUCUGUUACACCCCAAGCCAAGAUCAUGUCUGAAUCGGGCUUGGGGUGCAAUAUUUGUAAUUGAUUAUUCAUGACUGCAAGUUCGCUACAGGUUCAUUCCUGUGCAAUUAUUUGAUUAUUACUGGGAAAAACUGAUAGCCUAAUUUCUAUCAAAAGAUCCUCAAUGUAUACGUGUCUAUAUAUCAUUUUUGCCACCUAUCAUGCAUUGAAUCCAG